AGCCUGAUGAUGAGUCUCAAAUAGGACGAAAUGCGCAUCCUAGAU
This 45-nucleotide non-coding RNA is filed under the name Trichobilharzia regenti. Lineage: Eukaryota; Metazoa; Platyhelminthes; Trematoda; Strigeidida; Schistosomatidae. The record is from RNAcentral.